UAGCUCAGUCAGUUGAGCAUAGCGCUAACAACGCUAAGGUCGCGGGUUCAAUUCCCGU
RNAcentral lists this transfer RNA (58 nucleotides) under Apaloderma vittatum (bar-tailed trogon). It matches the Rfam family "tRNA", at positions 8 to 63 of the family's 71-position model. Rfam says of the family: Transfer RNA (tRNA) molecules are approximately 80 nucleotides in length. Their secondary structure includes four short double-helical elements and three loops (D, anti-codon, and T loops). The record is from Rfam by way of RNAcentral. Lineage: Eukaryota; Metazoa; Chordata; Aves; Trogoniformes; Trogonidae.